AUUGAACGCUGGCGGCAUGCUUUACACAUGCAAGUCGAACGGUAACAGGCCUUCGGGUGCUGACGAGUGGCGAACGGGUGAGUAAUGCAUCGGAACGUACCCAGAGGUGGGGGAUAACGCAGCGAAAGCUGUGCUAAUACACCAUGUGAUCUGAGGAUGCAAGCGGGGGACCGCGCAGCAAUGUUUGGCCUCGCGCCUUUGGAUCAGCCGAUGUCGGAUUAGCUAGUUGGUGGGGUAAAGGCCUACCAAGGCGACGAUCCGUAGCUGGUCUGAGAGGACGACCAGCCACACUGGGACUGAGACACGGCCCAGACUCCUACGGGAGGCAGCAGUGGGGAAUUUUGGACAAUGGGCGCAAGCCUGAUCCAGCAAUGCCGCGUGCGGGAAGAAGGCCUUCGGGUUGUAAACCGCUUUUGGCAGGAACGAAACGGUGUCCGCUAAUACCGGGCGCUAAUGACGGUACCUGCAGAAUAAGCACCGGCUAACUUCGUG
This 492-nucleotide ribosomal RNA is filed under the name uncultured bacterium. Its description in RNAcentral is "partial 16S ribosomal RNA". It matches the Rfam family "Bacterial small subunit ribosomal RNA", at positions 30 to 507 of the family's 1533-position model. The record is from RNAcentral.